UUCCAUCAAAUUAAAAUAUGGCCACCUCUAAAAUUGCAGCCAUGCUCAUGAUUUGUCUUUUCUGGAGCUCUUUUAUCGCUGAAUGUAAGUUUGAUCUGCAUUAUUAUUUAUUUAUUUUGAAAUAAUAUUAAUAUUUAUUGUUAAUUAUGCAGGUGAAUUGAUGAACGAGAGUUCUCGAAAGAUGCUCAAGAAUGAUGUCCCGGACGGUGGUUUUUGUAUACCUAAUUUUUGUUCCGAUAAUAAUGAAAGUUCAACAAAGUUUCAAGUUUUCUGUUGGUGUUGUGUUGCAGGAAAUUUCAGCGGCUGCGUUAAAUCAAAAAAAGAGUGUAACAGACGUUGUUAAUAGUCAAAUUCAAGUAUACUUUGUAAUAAAUUGUGUAGAUUGUAGUACUAUUUCAUCACAAAAUUUUGGAACUGUGAAAUAAAAGUUGGACACUCGUGAUGAUGUAAUAUAUGUCUUCAUUUUAUUUACUGGAAAUUAAG
RNAcentral lists this long non-coding RNA (483 nucleotides) under Daucus carota (carrot). RNAcentral's name for it is "long non-coding RNA (DCAR_LNC004618)". Lineage: Eukaryota; Viridiplantae; Streptophyta; Magnoliopsida; Apiales; Apiaceae. The record is from RNAcentral.